UAAAACUCGAAACACUCUCUCCUCCUCAAGCCCAACAACCAUCAAGUUUUUAUCAUG
Molecule: non-coding RNA, 57 nt
Filed under: uncultured Mamiellales
Lineage: Eukaryota; Viridiplantae; Chlorophyta; Mamiellophyceae; Mamiellales
Source: RNAcentral